GACGAAGGGUGCAAGCGUUAUCCGGAUUCAUUGGGUUUAAAGGGAGCGUAGGUGGCCUUAUAAGUCAGUGGUGAAAUCUCUGGGCUUAACCCAGAAAUUGCCAUUGAUACUGUAGGGCUUGAGUAUAGUUGCCGUUGGCGGAAUAUGACAUGUAGUGGUGAAAUACAUAGAGAUGUCAUAGAACACCGAUUGCGAAGGCAGCUGACGAAACUAUAACUGACACUGAGGCUCGAAAGUGUGGGGAUCAAACAGG
This 253-nucleotide ribosomal RNA is filed under the name uncultured bacterium. RNAcentral's name for it is "partial 16S ribosomal RNA". It matches the Rfam family "Bacterial small subunit ribosomal RNA", at positions 524 to 776 of the family's 1533-position model. The record is from RNAcentral.